This 254-nucleotide unclassified non-coding RNA is filed under the name Hevea brasiliensis (rubber tree). Lineage: Eukaryota; Viridiplantae; Streptophyta; Magnoliopsida; Malpighiales; Euphorbiaceae. The record is from RNAcentral.
AUCAUGUGUAACAGUUUAUUCAGACAUGUUACCUUAUCUCUGCAAAAAUCAUAUCCUAUUUAUCUGUUAUUACGUCAGUCUAACCAAAAGCAGGAAUAGAAUAGUUGCACAUUUCAACAUGUUAGAUUUAUUGACUUUAUUAUUCAUUGAUGAACUUUCUUUGUCUGACUGAUGUUUCUGCUUUCACAGGGAGGCUCAACCAAUAGAAAAAUUGAAGGACGCCUACAAGAAAUUUCUCAUGAGAUCAAUGAGAA